AUUGAACGCUGGCGGCAUGCUUUACACAUGCCAGUCGAACGGUAACAGGCCGCAAGGUGCUGACGAGUGGCGAACGGGUGAGUAAUGCAUCGGAACGUGCCCAGUCGUGGGGGAUAACUACUCGAAAGAGUAGCUAAUACCGCAUACGAUCUAUGGAUGAAAGCGGGGGACCGUAAGGCCUCGCGCGAUUGGAGCGGCCGAUGUCGGAUUAGGUAGUUGGUGGGGUAAAGGCUUACCAAGCCAACGAGCUGUAGCUGGUCUGAGAGGACGACCGGCCACACUGGGACGGAGACACGGCCCAGACUCCUACGGGAGGCAGCAGUGGGGAAUUUUGGGCAAUGGGCGCAAGCCUGAUCCAGCAAUGCCGCGUGCAGGAAGAAGGCCUUCGGGUUGUAAACUGCUUUUGUACGGAACGAAACGGCUCUGGUUAAUACCCGGGGCUAAUGACGGUACCGGAAGAAUAAGCACCGGCUAACUACGUG
This 482-nucleotide ribosomal RNA is filed under the name uncultured bacterium. RNAcentral's name for it is "partial 16S ribosomal RNA". It matches the Rfam family "Bacterial small subunit ribosomal RNA", at positions 29 to 507 of the family's 1533-position model. The record is from RNAcentral.